Molecule: long non-coding RNA, 1268 nt
Filed under: Strigops habroptila (Kakapo)
Lineage: Eukaryota; Metazoa; Chordata; Aves; Psittaciformes; Psittacidae
Description: lncRNA (ENSSHBG00005015720.1)
Source: RNAcentral
CCAAGAAGCCCAUGAUUGCUGCCCUUCCUGUCUAUCAUCCCUUUACAAAAUCCUCUCCUCCAAACCUGAGCUGCAUGCUGUCAGAGCUAAUAAUGUCUUCUAAAGAAAAGGGGAAGAAACAGCAUUCAUGCACAAUGUUCCCAUUUAUUACAUAGAGUGCUUAUUUAAAAAUUGCAAAUAUCUUUGUUUGGUUCACUGCAAAUUAAAACCAAGAUGUAGGAAGUUACACGAUGCAACAAUUAUUCAUGUCACAGCAGAGCAUCAAACCCUCGUAUCUUGCUCUUCUAUUGGUUAACGCAUGUGUGUGUGCGUGUGCGUGCGCUGUGUGUGUGUAACGCAGGGAAUAUCCCUUGUUGUGAAAAUAAAAACCACUUCAGGGGCUGCAGUACCGCUGGCUCCUGCUUGGCACGGUGGAGGAGGCAGCACAACUAGCCCUGACCCGGGUCAGCAAGAACCUCUCAAGUUCGGAGCAAUGUCCUGAAAACUUGUCUAAAACUUCUUUUACCGACGGGCCAUAGGCCACCCGACGGAAAGAAUCCGAAGACACAAAUCACGACUAAUUUUCCUCAUUUUUUAUCCGUACAUAUCCAUGUAGAAUCAAGGGAACCCUUUAAAGUUUAGUUUAAAGGCGGCGAGCUCCACGGAAGACUUCUUGCCCUGUUCUAGCUGAGGGCUGCAGGCAGACCGUUUGAUUUAUUUUCAUUUUUCAAAGGAAUGGAGAAAGUCCUCCGAUUAGCAGUGGUGUUAUUAUAAUCUCCAUUCUUAAACCCUGAAAGACCCUUGUAAACAAUCGGCUCCUUCUCCCAACCCAGUUCCCAACGCCGCCCGGUAAUGACGGGAAGAUUAAUGAAGCUUUUUUAGCAACACCUGUCUUUUUAAGCUGUCGACACAACCAAUUAAUACUUUUAAUUACCGCUACAAGGAAACUAACCAGAACCUUUCUGAUUUGAUUUGGCAGCUGAAUUUUAACCCCUCUGAAGCGGAGCCGCCCCAACGCCAGGCAGGGCGGCCGGGGAGGAGGGGAGGAUAGUUUUGCUGCGGGUUCAUUUCGCCUCGGGCUGGAUGGGGGGGUUAUUUCUCUAGUGGGGAGAGCCAACUCUUUUCGGUUUAUCUCGCUUUGCUUUUCCCCGAGCCUUUGCGAGUAUUUUGCCAUCCCUUUCGAGAACAGGAAAAUACAAGCGCUUGCUGGCGAGACCCCGGGGUGCACAGGUCCCCCGGGAUGACGGCCGGGGACAGCGGGAGAAUGGCUGGAGGGAGCAGCAGCAGCU